UAUGGGCACUAGGAAGAGAUUCUAGA
This 26-nucleotide non-coding RNA is filed under the name Homo sapiens (human). The record is from RNAcentral. Lineage: Eukaryota; Metazoa; Chordata; Mammalia; Primates; Hominidae.